GACGAACGCUGGCGGCGUGCUUAACACAUGCAAGUCGAACGGAAAGGCCCUGCUUUUGUGGGGUGCUCGAGUGGCGAACGGGUGAGUAACACGUGAGUAACCUGCCCUUGACUUUGGGAUAACUUCAGGAAACUGGGGCUAAUACCGGGUAGGAGCUCCUGCUGCAUGGUGGGGGUUGGAAAGUUUCGGCGGUUGGGGAUGGACUCGCGGCUUAUCAGCUUGUUGGUGGGGUAGUGGCUUACCAAGGCUUUGACGGGUAGCCGGCCUGAGAGGGUGACCGGCCACAUUGGGACUGAGAUACGGCCCAGACUCCUACGGGAGGCAGCAGUGGGGAAUAUUGCACAAUGGGCGGAAGCCUGAUGCAGCGACGCCGCGUGCGGGAUGACGGCCUUCGGGUUGUAAACCGCUUUCGCCUGUGACGAAGCGUGAGUGACGGUAAUGGGUAAAGAAGCACCGGCUAACUACGUGCCAGCAGCCGCGGUGAUACGUAGGGUGCGAGCGUUGUCCGGAUUUAUUGGGCGUAAAGGGCUCGUAGGUGGUUGAUCGCGUCGGAAGUGUAAUCUUGGGGCUUAACCCUGAGCGUGCUUUCGAUACGGGUUGACUUGAGGAAGGUAGGGGAGAAUGGAAUUCCUGGUGGAGCGGUGGAAUGCGCAGAUAUCAGGAGGAACACCAGUGGCGAAGGCGGUUCUCUGGGCCUUUCCUGACGCUGAGGAGCGAAAGCGUGGGGAGCGAACAGGCUUAGAUACCCUGGUAGUCCACGCUGUAAACGGUGGGUACUAGGUGUGGGGUCCAUUCCACGGGUUCCGUGCCGUAGCUAACGCUUUAAGUACCCCGUCUGGGGAGUACGGCCGCAAGGCUAAAACUCAAAGGAAUUGACGGGGCCCCGCACAAGCGGCGGAGCAUGCGGAUUAAUUCGAUGCAACGCGUAGAACCUUACCUGGGUUUGACAUGAAUCGGGAGUGCUCAGAGAUGGGUGUGCCUCUUUUGGGGUCGGUUCACAGGUGGUGCAUGGCUGUCGUCAGCUCGUGUCGUGAGAUGUUGGGUUAAGUCCCGCAACGAGCGCAACCCUUGUUCACUGUUGCCAGCACGUUAUGGUGGGGACUCAGUGGAGACCGCCGGGGUCAACUCGGAGGAAGGUGGGGAUGACGUCAAGUCAUCAUGCCCCUUAUGUCCAGGGCUUCACGCAUGCUACAAUGGCUGGUACAGAGAGUGGCGAGCCUGUGAGGGUGAGCGGAUCUCGGAAAGCCGGUCUCAGUUCGGAUUGGGGUCUGCAACUCGACCUCAUGAAGUCGGAGUCGCUAGUAAUCGCAGAUCAGCAACGCUGCGGUGAAUACGUUCCCGGG
Molecule: ribosomal RNA, 1343 nt
Filed under: uncultured bacterium
Lineage: Bacteria
Description: 16S ribosomal RNA
Rfam family: Bacterial small subunit ribosomal RNA
Source: RNAcentral